UACGAAGGGUGCAAGCGUUACUCGGAAUUACUGGGCGUAAAGGGUGCGUAGGCGGCGGGGCAAGUCUGAUGUGAAAUCCCGGGGCUCAACCCCGGAACUGCAUUGGAUACUGCCUUGCUCGAGUACUGGAGAGGGAACUGGAAUUUACGGUGUAGCAGUGAAAUGCGUAGAUAUUGGGAGGAACACCAGUGGCGAAGGCGGCUACCUGGACCGGUUCUGACGCUGAUGCGCGAAAGCGUGGGUAGCAAACAGG
This 253-nucleotide ribosomal RNA is filed under the name uncultured bacterium. RNAcentral's name for it is "partial 16S ribosomal RNA". It matches the Rfam family "Bacterial small subunit ribosomal RNA", at positions 524 to 776 of the family's 1533-position model. The record is from RNAcentral.